UACGUAGGUGGCAAGCGUUGUCCGGAAUUAUUGGGCGUAAAGGGCGUGUAGGUGGACUCAUAAGUCGUGUGUCUAAGUGCGAAGCUCAACUUCGUAUAGGCGCAGGAAACUGUGAGCCUUGAGUGCAGGAGAGGAAAGUGGAAUUCCCAGUGUAGCGGUGAAAUGCGUAGAUAUUGGGAGGAACACCAGUGGCGAAGGCGACUUUCUGGACUGUGUCUGACACUGAGGCGCGAAAGCUAGGGGAGCGAACGGG
RNAcentral lists this ribosomal RNA (253 nucleotides) under uncultured bacterium. RNAcentral's name for it is "partial 16S ribosomal RNA". It matches the Rfam family "Bacterial small subunit ribosomal RNA", at positions 524 to 776 of the family's 1533-position model. The record is from RNAcentral.